RNAcentral lists this ribosomal RNA (433 nucleotides) under uncultured bacterium. Its description in RNAcentral is "partial 16S ribosomal RNA". It matches the Rfam family "Bacterial small subunit ribosomal RNA", at positions 29 to 507 of the family's 1533-position model. The record is from RNAcentral.
AACGAACGCUGGCGGCAUGCCUAACACAUGCAAGUCGAACGAUACCUUCGGGUCUAGUGGCGCACGGGUGCGUAACGCGUGGGAACCUGCCCUUAGGUUCGGAAUAACUCCCCGAAAGGGGUGCUAAUACCGGAUAAUGUCUUCGGACCAAAGAUUUAUCGCCUUUGGAUGGGCCCGCGUUGGAUUAGCUAGUUGGUAGGGUAAAAGCCUACCAAGGCGACGAUCCAUAGCUGGUCUGAGAGGAUGAUCAGCCACACUGGGACUGAGACACGGCCCAGACUCCUACGGGAGGCAGCAGUGGGGAAUAUUGGACAAUGGGCGAAAGCCUGAUCCAGCAAUGCCGCGUGAGUGAUGAAGGCCUUAGGGUUGUAAAGCUCUUUUACCCGGGAUGAUAAUGACAGUACCGGGAGAAUAAGCGCCGGCUAACUCCGUG